Long non-coding RNA from Chiroxiphia lanceolata (lance-tailed manakin), 772 nucleotides. RefSeq lists it as uncharacterized. The record is from RefSeq and is a predicted model, not a curated record. Lineage: Eukaryota; Metazoa; Chordata; Aves; Passeriformes; Pipridae. The transcript is spliced from 3 exons.
AUCAGGUUUUCCUUUUCCCUGAAAAAUGAUGUCUCAGUGUCUCUCCAGAAGCAUCCAUGCACAUUUUUAGGAGGCAGAGGAGAUCCUGGAUGUGGUAGGCUUGUCAUACAAGUGCUUGGGGAUGGCUGGGUACAGUUUAUCUUAAAGUGAAGGAAGUAAGAAAUGGACUUCCAAUGCUUAAAAUCACAAGGGCUUUUGUCACAACAAACCCCGGGAGCUGCUUGUGCUGAAAGCACAUUCCCCGCCUUGGUUUCCCCCUCAGCCUGAGCCCUCACGGGAGCUGUCAUUGAUGGUCCAUCCCUGCAGACCCUCAGUGCCCCUCAGCCUUCCCCAGAUGCCCAGUGCUGCCUGUGGGACAUUCCCAAAAGCAGCUGAAAGAUGCUCUAAGUCUCCUGCUCCUCUCUUUUCAGGUACUGAUGGGGAAUGGCAGCAGAGGAAUGUGCCAGCCUUAAUAACUUGGCUUCUGGGCACAGCAUAUCCAUCCGAAACUGAGAGAUUACAGGGGAAAAGUGGGGGGAAAACACCAUUAUUGCCUUCUGAUGUUUGCAGAGUUACAACUGAGAAUCCAACAUUUCUUAAUAUCAAGAAGGAGGUUUAAUGCAAAGGAAACAUAAAGUAAAAUUAAAAAGGAGUACAGAGGAGGAAAAGAGAAGGUCUUGUGAUCCAGAGUUCAGCUUUCCCAGUCUGAGCAGUUGUGCUGUGUAGUGUCCAGUAUAAAAUCAGGUGCACCCAGGGGCUCUAUCCCAGGGCAGAUGUGCAGAAGAGACCAUAA